CAAGUGCAGGCCAUAGCAUUAAAAGACAUUUAUGUUUUCUCUUUCCAUCCAUGUGCAACAAAUGCACACAUGCAGUGCAAAAGAAAAAGAAAAAACAAAAGUUUUCACUCACACCAGACCAGUGACGCGCGGUGAGGUUCGUAGCUGGCACCUGCUGUCGGUUUGACAACAAGACAAUCAGAUGGAGCGGGCGACCAUCGUCCGAUUGUCCCGGUUCCUGGUUUGUCUGUGACACUAAGUGACAACAGCUGGAAGCCCUCGCUCUUCCAACAACACCCAUCAUGCAAGUCAAAUGCAGGCACAAAAGAAAAGGGCUUCAUUAUAGUGACUGUAGUGGUGCGACUUUAACCAGCAAGAAGAGGAAACAAGGAUUUAAUUGUGUCUGCUGAAGGUGGAUGAAAGGCUCUGUUGUCUGAUCUGGAUUUGAACAUGUGUGUUAAAGCACAGGGCAAACAGCACUGCUAUCUGCAGAUGCUGCUGCAGAUUUCUGAAUGCAAACCCUCUCACAUCUCUCUCUUCUUCUUCCCUCUCGACGUAAUUGACUGAACAUGUCAAUACUUGGAGGGAUAAAAACAGAGCCUCCAUCGUCUGCAUCUAUCGAUCCGCACUUCUCUUUCUUUCCCUUUCUGCCUGUCUGCUGAUCUUAAUUACACUUCUUUUUACCAGGCUGGCCAGAGCAGCUGCCCUUUUCAUAAAGCUUACCACUCAUCAGUGCUUAUACAUCAAAAUUAAUGAGCGAAAGCAGGCCUGCAAAGACAAAACAUUCAAUACUAGGUGGAUUUGAAUCAUUUGAAACAAAGAGAAAGUGAUUCAGAGUUGACAUGUUGACCAUCAGACAUCAGAGCUUGAUGUCGUUAGCAUAGCUAGAAAAUAGCAGUCGCUGUGUGUACACUCAACUAUGAAGCUUAACUUUUAGAUUUACAAAAGGUGCCAAUAUUUCUACAUCUGGAAAAUUCAGUCGCGUUAGUCUAACAGCCUUGCUGUUCUCUAUUGAAAGUCUUGCUCUCUCUUAAUCUCUCGUAGCCUGAAGUAAAAGGCUACAUAUUUCUAAUAAUGUAAGCAACUUUCACAGAGAAGAGUGCUGUCAGUCCAAAGUUAACAUGGUGAAUUCACAAAUUCAGAAAGUUAUCUGAUUGAUAACCAAUUCUAACCGUCACUUUUUCUGUGAAUCUUUCUAAAAAGCCUUGAUGAACAUGUUCUGACUUUUUCUUUCUUUACCAAUUUGUUUUUCUCCUCCUUUGUUCCAACAUCUCUCUACCUAUGCUCGCUAGUCCACCUCUCACAAAGCACAAAAACAACUUAUGAAGUCAGGUUUCAUGGAGUGAUAGGAAGGCGGCCCUGUCUAUUCUACAGCAAUUGUUCUCCCAUGAACGAGUUAAAUAAAAAAGGUUUCCUAAUCGCCCGGUUUCACAGCUCACGCCUUCCAUCAAUCACGGCUGUCUGCGCUUCCUUGGCAUUUGUGUGAGCCGUCACGUUCCCACCGUCUGAGCUUUUAAACGUCUGCUGAAUCGAAAAACAAAAGCCGUUGC
Molecule: long non-coding RNA, 1529 nt
Organism: Poeciliopsis prolifica (blackstripe livebearer)
Lineage: Eukaryota; Metazoa; Chordata; Actinopteri; Cyprinodontiformes; Poeciliidae
Exons: 3
Source: RefSeq, a predicted model, not a curated record